This is a long non-coding RNA of Athene cunicularia (burrowing owl), 1878 nucleotides long. RefSeq lists it as uncharacterized. The record is from RefSeq and is a predicted model, not a curated record. The transcript is spliced from 2 exons. NCBI's taxonomy places the organism in Eukaryota, Metazoa, Chordata, Aves, Strigiformes, Strigidae.
AGGUGAAUUCCCAAUUCAUCUUGUGUUGGCAUGUGGCCCAGGGAGGGAAAUGGCACCAAGCACUGAGAAGCCCAAGAGAGGGUGUAGUUGCACCACCACACUGCCCCAUCCCAGUGGAGGUGGAAGAGAAAAGGCCCUGAUACAGCCAGAAUAUGAUGUUUGGCCAGGAGGAUGGGGACAGGGCGUGUGAAUGUAGCCAGACCCCAGCACAACCCAAGGUAGAAAGGGAGCAUAUGCUCCCCUGCACAGUUGUCAUCCAAACCCACUUUUUAGCCCUUCUAUGAAUCUGGAGAAGUGGAGUCAUUUCUAUGGCAAAGACUGUAUUUGUGGAGCAUGAGGUUGUUUUGCAAAAGGCAAACCAGAGCUGCUCAAGUGGCCAUUCCCAUUACUGGGGGAAGGGCCAUGCUGCUUCCAGAGAUCACCACCUGCCUCUCUUCUCACAACUCAUUUUUCCCUUAUCAGUGUAGUAUCUGUUUCCUCCCCUGCUGUGGAAAGGAUGGUAUUAAUUUUUUAUUUUUCUUCUUUUCCUUCCAAAAUACCUUUCAGCAAAAAUGAAAAGCAUUUCAAAUGUCAGCAAGAUCUGCUUAAACUCUUACAGUCUAAAUGGAGCAGCACUCUGUGCCAAGUCAAAAACUCGGGCACGAAGCAUUUAAAUAAAGGCUUGGAGCUGCCUGAGAGUGAAAUGGAGGACACCAGAGGAACAGCUUUGACGUGCAACCAGAUACUCAGAGGUAACAGCCCAGGGAGUCUCCAGCUGUAAGGUCCCCUCGCCUGGGUCUCAGCCCUGGACCAGCCCAUCCCUCAGCUCCAGUAUGAAUGUAAGUAUUUUAGAGAGAACUGCUCUGUGCCUGUGCAAACCCAUCACUGGCAGCCGCCAAACCUCCUGCCUCCCCAGUGCUAACAGCAUGAGGACAACAGGAGUGAUCAGCCAUUUUGUCACCUUCUGAACUGGAAGGUCAGGAGCAGAAAAGGUGGCAGCAUUGCCUCAGUUUUUGCAUUGCUAAUGCCAGUGCUGUUCCUUCUCUUAGCAAUAUCACUAGCUCACUGAGUUGCCUCUAAAUUGGCACUCUCGCUGACUUUCCAGACUUUGGCUGUUUUCAGAAGACGGUAACAGAGACUGCCUUGUGGCGACACACAGAAGGAUGCUCUUUAAAGCAGGAGGAAGGAGAGCAAUGCCUGGCUUCUACCUGCUGCUCCUGCUGCCCCUCACUAAGCAGGAAUUAAGCCAAGCCAGAAAAAUGCGAUCCCUAACCACUAACCUCAGCUGCCCCAUAGGAGAGAAGCCAUGUUGCCAUCCUGGGACAGGUGCUCUGGAGCUGGGCGGUCACUUGUCCCCUAAAGGGCGCUGCUCUGAGGAGAGGUCGAGACUGGCCCUGCUGGGCACGGCCGGACUGCAGCUGCCCCACCUCAGGGCACAGCUGAGCCCCGCUCCAAAACUGGUGGCACCUCUGGGAAAGUGUAUUUAAGAAAGGGCAAAACGCUGUAUGGCAGUGAGGGGUGAGGACAAAAAAAAAACCAUGAGAAACUGUCCUGCAAUGCUAAGGCCAGAAGAGGAAGAGGAGGAGGUGCUGAGCAGAGUCCCUGCAGCACAUGGAGUGACCACAGUGGAACAGGGGAACAGCUCUGAAGGAGCAGUGACCAGUGGGAAGGCCCCAUGCUGGAGCAGGGGAACAGCGUGAGGAGGAGGAGUGGCAGAGACAACCUGUUAUGGGCUGACCACAACCCCCCAUUCCCCAUUCCUCUGUGCCGUGUGGGGAGGGGAUAAAGGAGUGAAACUGAACCUGGGAAGAAGGGGGGGUAGGAGGGCGUUGUUUUAAUUUGUCUUUCGCUAUGCAAACCUAUUUUAACAGGCAAUAAAUUAAUUCUCCCCAAGUCAAA